This 28-nucleotide non-coding RNA is filed under the name Rattus norvegicus (Norway rat). The record is from RNAcentral. Lineage: Eukaryota; Metazoa; Chordata; Mammalia; Rodentia; Muridae.
ACCAAAAGCAACUUGGGGAAGAAAGGGU